GCUGUUUCUAUGUUAACGUGAGGUCCACUCAACAUGCUGUUUCUAUCUUUACGUGAGGUCCACUCAACAUGCUGUUUCUAUGUUUACGUGAGGUCCACUCAACAUGCUGUUUCUAUGUUUACGUGAGGUCCACUCAACAUGCUGUUUCUAUCUUUACGUGAGGUCCACUCAACAUGCUGUUUCUAUCUUUACGUGAGGUCCACUCAACAUGCUGUUUCUAUGUUUACGUGAGGUCCACUCAACAUGCUGUUUCUAUGUUUACGUGAGGUCCACUCAACAUGCUGUUUCUAUGUUUACGUGAGGUCCACUCAACAUGCUGUUUCUAUGUUUACGUGAGGUCCACUCAACAUGCUGUUUCUAUGUUUACGUGAGGUCCACUCAACAUGCUGUUUCUAUGUUUACGUGAGGUCCACUCAACAUGCUGUUUCCUGUGUAAUGACCUAUGUGAAAUACAGGAAGUGCUUGA
This is a long non-coding RNA of Oncorhynchus tshawytscha (Chinook salmon), 466 nucleotides long. The record is from Ensembl. NCBI's taxonomy places the organism in Eukaryota, Metazoa, Chordata, Actinopteri, Salmoniformes, Salmonidae.